AGAGAGUUAGACAUCGGUUUGGUCAGGCUCAUAACCUGAAGGUCGUAGGUUCAAAUCCUACCCCCGCAACCA
RNAcentral lists this transfer RNA (72 nucleotides) under Rhodospirillaceae bacterium. RNAcentral's name for it is "tRNA-Met". It matches the Rfam family "tRNA", at positions 9 to 71 of the family's 71-position model. From Rfam's summary of the family: Transfer RNA (tRNA) molecules are approximately 80 nucleotides in length. Their secondary structure includes four short double-helical elements and three loops (D, anti-codon, and T loops). The record is from RNAcentral. Lineage: Bacteria; Pseudomonadati; Pseudomonadota; Alphaproteobacteria; Rhodospirillales; Rhodospirillaceae. RNAcentral also lists the same sequence under 1 other name.